This 497-nucleotide ribosomal RNA is filed under the name uncultured bacterium. RNAcentral describes it as "partial 16S ribosomal RNA". It matches the Rfam family "Bacterial small subunit ribosomal RNA", at positions 28 to 507 of the family's 1533-position model. The record is from RNAcentral.
GAUGAACGCUGGCGGCGUGCCUAAUACAUGCAAGUCGAGCGAACAGACGAGGAGCUUGCUCCUCUGACGUUAGCGGCGGACGGGUGAGUAACACGUGGAUGACCUACCUAUAAGACUGGGAUAACUUCGGGAAACCGGAGCUAAUACCGGAUAACAUGUUGAACCGCAUGGUUCAACAGUGAAAGACGGUCUUGCUGUCACUUAUAGAUGGAUCCGCGCCGCAUUAGCUAGUUGGUAAGGUAACGGCUUACCAAGGCAACGAUGCGUAGCCGACCUGAGAGGGUGAUCGGCCACACUGGAACUGAGCCACGGUCCAGACUCCUACGGGAGGCAGCAGUAGGGAAUCUUCCGCAAUGGGCGAAAGCCUGACGGAGCAACGCCGCGUGAGUGAAGAAGGUCUUCGGAUCGUAAAACUCUGUUAUUAGGGAAGAACAAAUGUGUAAGUAACUAUGCACGUCUUGACGGUACCUAAUCAGAAAGCCACGGCUAACUACGUG